CGGGGCCCGCCCGUGCGGCUCGGGGCGGUGCUGGAGCGGGCGGGCGCUGAGGCGGCCGUUUCCUGUCCUGGUGCAUGGUGGUCGGACGGAGGAAUUGUUGGAAAAUUUCUCGGCGAGGUAGACGAUGUUAUUAGCUCAGAUAAAUCGAGACUCUCAAGGAAUGACUGAAUUUUCUGGAGGAGGAAUGGAGGCCCAGCAUGUGACUCUUUGUUUAACAGAAGCUGUAGCUGUGCAAGGUGAACAUUCAGAUGGUGACAACUUAGAAAAUAUGGAAGGUGUAAGUUUGCAAGCAGUUACCCUUGCUGAUGGCUCCACUGCUUACAUACAGCACAAUUCUAAAGAUGGUAAAUUAAUGGAUGGCCAGGUGAUUCAACUAGAAGAUGGUUCUGCUGCCUAUGUUCAACAUGUACCCAUGCCUAAAAGUACAGGAGACAGCCUGCGUCUGGAAGACGGACAAGCAGUUCAGUUGGAAGAUGGAACUACAGCAUUUAUUCAUCACACUUCCAAAGACAGUUAUGACCAGAGUGCAUUACAAGCCGUCCAGCUGGAAGAUGGUACUACCGCCUACAUACACCACACAGUGCAAAUGCCACAGUCAGAUACCAUUUUAGCUAUUCAGGCUGAUGGCACAGUGGCAGGUCUUCAUACAGGAGAUGCUGCCAUCGAUCCAGAUACCAUCAGUGCUUUGGAGCAAUAUGCAGCAAAGGUGUCUAUUGAUGGAAAUGACAGUGUAAGUGGCACAGGAAUGAUAGGUGAAAAUGAACAAGAUAAAAAAAUGCAGAUUGUCUUGCAAGGACAUGGAACAAGAGUGACUGCAAAAUCUCAGCAGAGUGGAGAGAAAGCUUUUCGUUGCGAAUAUGAUGGCUGUGGAAAACUGUACACAACAGCUCACCAUCUUAAGGUGCAUGAAAGGUCACACACAGGAGAUCGACCAUAUCAGUGUGAACAUCCAGGCUGUGGUAAAGCAUUUGCAACAGGGUAUGGGCUAAAAAGUCAUGUCCGAACACACACUGGUGAAAAACCUUAUCGGUGCACAGAAGAAAAUUGCACCAAAUCAUUCAAGACUUCAGGAGACCUGCAGAAACACAUCCGAACACACACAGGUGAAAGACCCUUUAAGUGUCCAUUUGAAGGAUGUGGCAGGUCAUUUACAACAUCUAAUAUUAGAAAGGUUCACAUCAGGACACAUACAGGCGAAAGACCUUAUUACUGUACAGAGCCAGGAUGUGGGAGAGCUUUUGCCAGUGCAACUAAUUAUAAGAAUCAUGUGAGAAUACACACAGGGGAGAAGCCCUACGUCUGUACAGUUCCUGGUUGUGAUAAACGUUUUACAGAGUAUUCCAGUUUAUACAAACACCAUGUUGUACAUACUCAUUCCAAACCAUAUAACUGCAAUCAUUGUGGAAAAACAUACAAGCAGAUUUCCACACUUGCUAUGCACAAGCGAACAGCACACAAUGACACAGAGCCCAUUGAAGAAGAACAAGAGGCCUUUUUCGAGCCACCUCCAGGUCAAGGUGAAGAUGUUCUCAAAGGCUCCCAGAUAACCUAUGUGACAGGUGUCGAUGGAGAAGAUGUCAUUUCUGCACAAGUUGCUACAGUUACUCAGUCAGGCUUAGGUCAACAAGUAGCGCUCAUUUCCCAGGAUGGAACCCAGCAUGUCAACAUAUCUCAGGCUGAUAUGCAAGCCAUUGGAAAUACUAUCACUAUGGUAACACAAGAUGGCACCACCAUCACAGUCCCUGCCCAUGAUGCCGUCAUCUCUUCUUCAGGAACACAUUCUGUAGCAAUGGUUACUGCAGAAGGCACUGAAGGACAGCAGGUUGCUAUUGUGGCUCAAGACUUAGCAGCAUUUCAUAGUGCCUCAUCUGAAAUGGGACAUCAGCAACAUGGGCACCAUUUAGUGACUACAGAAACUAGACCUGUUACAUUGUUGGCUACAUCCAAUGGGACGCAGAUUGCAGUACAGCUUGGAGAACAGCAGUCUUUGGAAGAAGCCAUUAGAAUAGCCUCCAGAAUACAGCAGGGUGAAACACCAGGGAUUGAUGAUUAACUUCUAACACUGCUACCAGAACAAUAGAUUGAAAGUAGGCUCGUCAAGCAAGUCAAAAUUUUUGGCUUCAUGUAAGAUUCAGUGUUUGUUUUAGAUGAGUGUCAAGAGCCCAAGUCUGGCAGCUUCUGAAACUGAAGCCUCAUCUUUUACCGUCUCAAGAGAAGAAUUAAAAAUCUUCCGGAUGAAGUGCUUAUCAAGAUUUUUGACAGAAAUUUCUGAUCUGAAUACGACUUUCAGGAUCAGAUCCUGUUGCCAUUCUCUUUGUAAGUAAAGAUUUAAAGUGUUAAGAGGCAGAAAUGAAGACACAAAUGGAGUCAUUAAAAAUUGUUAGGGUAUGUGCUAUCAUAGUCACAGAGAAAUAUUUAAGAAUUGUGUAAGUUAUAAGCUUUGUAUGUAUUCAUUAGCUUACAUAUAGGUGGCAUGGAGAUUGUUUUAAUUUCUAAACACUGAAACUUUUUGAAUUGGCAACCUCUAUUACAAAUAGGCUACCUUCAGUGCAAAAUAGAACAAAGAAGAAGAAAACUGUAAUAUACUGCUGAUUGUAGGGAUGGAUUCGUAUUUGCCUAGGCCAUGUCAGGAGAAGAAAGAUUGUCUUUUGAGUGACUGUGAAACUGUACGUUAAUGCUAUGAAUAUGCUUAUGGAAACAUCAUUAGCUAGAUAAUUUUUACUUCAGCAGUACCUGUAGAGGAACAUGCUCCAGAUCUACAAGCAGCUGUAGGGGAACAUUCUGCACGAAUAUCAGAUAGUUUGGCUCCAAGACCACCUGCGUUGCUACCAGCUUCCUUCCUGGAACUGAAUGACCUUUAGGUUUCUAUCAGUUUUCACAAUUCAACCGAUAAUGAGACUAUCCUCAGGCAGCUGUUGAAAGAAACUCAGGAAGGAACAGGAAGAGGAACCAGGACUAGUGUUGCAAAGGAGUUCCUUUACAUUUGUAACCAAAUGAAUCAAGGUAAAAUCUUUACAGUUUUAAUUCUGACAAAAGGAAGUUAAGUGGACUUGGGAUCUACAGUCCAAAGGAAUUUGACCUCUAAAAAAAAUAAUUUUUCAACUGACUCCACCACUAUAUCAUCCAUUAAGGCAUGGACAGUGUCAAGAACGCUCAUACAUUCAGAACAGAAUAUAAUGCUCCAUUGCUUUUCUCAGAAGCCUUGUGCUGGCCAGCAACCAUAUUCUUAGUACCAGUCUCCAGUCAUUUAUGGACUUAAUUGGUUGUAGCAUCACAGGCUUAAAUAGCACUGUAGCAGAUAUUUCUGAACAGGUACAUGGAUACUCUCCAGAAGCUUUGGUGCUUGAGAGCAUGAACUAACUUCUGUUUCCUGAAGCUUCAUCCUUCUUUUUAAAUAUCUUUUGGGGAACAGAUUUCAAACUUCUAGUUAGUAAGCUGGUCUGUUAUUCCUCCUAAGAGACUUUAAGGCACUGUAUAACUCUAAGAUACAGGCACGGACCAUUUAAAACAUUUUUUUUGUUGUUUUAUGAGACAUUGGGAAUUUGAGUUUUGUUUUUAUGCCAGUUGCUCCUGAUUUUCAUAUUAGUAGCUUGACCUUCCUCCUCUUUUCUCUUGCUUUUUAACUCCAUUUAUGUUUCUCAUAAGUUCAACCAGUUUCAAGUUUAUGUUGGCUGCUGUAGAAUGGAUUUUUGGCAGAACUCUUUUAAUUUGAUCAAAAUGAUUUGGGGGUCUUGUAGCUGAACUUGUAAGUGCAGGAAAUCCUGACAAGAUGGCAGUGUUCCCACUUCUGUGGCAGUUUCCUCUGACAGCCAGACAAAUUGCCCAUUGUUUCAUUUCUUUCUCGUUCAUCAUUAUUUGGGUUCCCUUGCUACCCACAAAAGAGAGAACAACUGUUUCCCCUUGAGCUUGAAAACUCCUAGUUAAAAGUAGCUAUUUGCCAGUGAGUGUGUUCUGCCCCAGAUAAGUAUUUCUGGUAGCAAAAGCUUCAAUGCACCACACUGCAUAUACUUUAAAUUAAAAUCAAGUAUUUUUUUAAAAAAUGUGCAAAUAUAUUCUGAAACCCCUUAAACCACCCAAAUUUCUAAGAAUAUCAGUCAGGCACUGCCUGACAUAAAGGUACAUUACAUACUGUUAAAUCAAUUUGCAGGAUCAGGGCUUUAGUUUGCAAGAUCUACAGAGGAUCAAAGAUGCAAUUUAACCAGAGAAUUUGGAAUUAUUUUGGCUCAGUCAGUAUGAACCAGUGGAAGCUUGCACAGCUCUUCCCCACUUCCUCUGUUCCUCAAUCGCCAUUGUUAAUGUGUCUGUCUAAGGGAAUUUGCUCUGCAGUGCUUUUUAGUCAGGCUGUGUACAGGAAUCCUAAUGCUAGUCAUACUUUUUUUCAUGGUGGUCAGGAUAGCGCAGUUACCAUACUUGUUUUUGGGGAAAGUCAUCUUCUAUUCAGUACAACAGUUUGUAAUCCCUUCAAAUGAUAGCAAAAGAAGAACUGGUGUAAAUGCGGGAUGGCACAUAUGUAGAGCUGAUGUACAAGGUCUUCAUAGAGUAACUACACAUUUUGUUAUAUUUACAUAUUUAUUCAGUACUUCAUUUUCUUAUUUGGUCUCAGUUUGGAAAUAAACUAUCUUUUUAAACUAUUGUGUUUCUGCUCUUUCUUUCUUUCUGCAUUCCUUUGUCUCCUCCUGUAUCUCUUUUACUGUCUUCUCAUCCUUCUGUAUUUCUGUUUCUGCAGAAACUCUGAAUUGUGUCAUUUGUUUUUGUCCCACUUAAACUGUUACAGUGAUCAGCAAUUCAACAGUUAAAGUCUAUACAACAGGACUUCUGAAUUUUGCUUUGCUGCUUAUCUUCAUUGCAUGGCAGUAUCUAUAGACUCCAGAAAGCAAUGCAGCACCAGUUCCAUUUACAUUGAGCUUGAGAAGGAAACUCUGCAGCUUUGACAUUUCUAGGGGGAAAAAAAAAGUUUUUUACCGAAAGCUUAAACUCUUUGUUUUUAAGAAAAUAAAAACAUCAUACAUGACUCGUGCAAGCCAAAGCUAGCGACUAGGAUGUUUGAGUCCUUUAUUAGGAAUUCUUUGCAUUUUCCUCUGUCGGCUAUUAAUUAAGCAACAGAUGGAGGUUACAUUUUGUAAUAGCCUUUUCUUACAUCAUCUGUCCUGAAACUGGAAUGCUUCAGCUAGUAUUUGCUAUACAGUGCAUUUCGUUUUUUUAAAUUAGUAUUUUGAAUGUGAUGUUAUUGAGAUUCUGAAUUAUUGAAAGCCAGACAUUUUUAUAACACUUGGCUUGAUGUAGUCAUCUCUCUCCAAAUGCUAUCCUGUCUCAUUUUCAUAGCUUUUAUUGGCUACCUGGCUACUUCCAGUUUUCAGAAAUUACAGUUUUCAAGAGGCUUCUAUAAUCUCAGAGAUUAUGUUCUUGUGGUUUGCCAUUGCUCGUCCUGAAAACAAAAACUCUCUUAAGUUUUCAGGCCAUCAGAAGCACGAGAAAUGCAUAGGUAUAUGGUAUUUAAGUGGAAAUAUUCCUACGUGUACCGUACGAGAAAAAAGACUCAUUACCCAUGUCUCUAGUGAUGACCGUGCUUCAAGGAAAACCAUUUCCCCUGCACAUCAGCCGGCAGUGCAAGCAAGUAUUGAGUAGACAGCUGACCUGUCCGGCCACAUUGCUUUAAAACGCUCUCAGGUUUGUGCAGUACUGUCGGCACGUGAAGGCGCGGGGUAGGUGCGCGUUUCAUCGCGGCGGAGGAGCGAGGGGCAGGGGGCGCGAGGCCCGGCCGAGCCUGCAGCAGUUGGUGACAGUUGUGCCGCGCCGGCACCGAGGUGCUCGGCCGCCCUCCGCACAGCAACAGGUGUUGCGGGGAACAAGAUUAAAGAACGGACUGGUCGCUAACAGAAGUGGAGGUAAUGCGAACGGGGCCACUCCUAGCCUGAGAUACCAGUGUCCCUGUGGCAUUUCUUAUGUCUCGAAAAUACAGACUGGGAGAGCAGCAGCUGUGUGACCAGCAACAGCAUAGAAAAGAGGAGAAACACAUAUCCAGCUGGCCGCAGAAAAGAGCCUUUGAGACCUGCUGUUGGCUACGGUCAUUCAGAAUUGCGAAACGUUGAAUAUUCCUGACUUGAGAAAGUGGAAGUGUGAGGUAAAAAGUGCCUGAAAUCUGAGAUUUCUGCUCCUAGGAAUCGAGGACCAGUCGCCCAUCCACAGGAAAACAGGGAGCAACGGAAACAUGGUUAAGUACAAACUUUAUUUUUUAUUGACUGGGUCUUACAUGUUUUAACUCAUUAUAUUAUAAACUUCUGGAGUCGGAGUCAGCCCAUGCUUUUCUUGGUAGAGAUGUUACAUUUGCAGACUGAUCUUUUAUCUGCCAGUGUGAUUUGGGGAUAACACUGACAGGGGUCCUGAGCUAACAGAGGCUGUUGGGUUAAAUGUAAUGAAAGGUAGUACAAAUCCUGAAAUGAAGCGGAGAGGCAGAGUUGAGUGCACCUCUAGGGAGAGAGCCUGAUUAAUGGCAUCCACUAUAAAUCAUAGUUGUUCUGCUCUAACUUUUUGGUUUGUGCAAGAAGUUCUUACGGAAGUGACUAUUAAUCACUUGGGCUGCUGUAUUUGAGGUGUGUUUCUGAGUGAAAUUUGUGAAUCAAGUCAUUUGGAGUGUAUUUGAAUAUUUGCUAUUUUAACUGAAAAAUGUGUCUUUAGUUAGUCCGAAGGGAUUUACUGUUGGUUUAGGGUAUGUGAAAUCGGGGUUCUUGAGCAGUCUUCUAAUGACCAAACUGGAGCAAAAAAGCUCGCUUUAAAAUGGAGCUCCUG
This is an RNA transcript of Dromaius novaehollandiae (emu), 6786 nucleotides long. It is a transcript of the gene named zinc finger protein 143, with no coding region annotated. The record is from RefSeq and is a predicted model, not a curated record. Lineage: Eukaryota; Metazoa; Chordata; Aves; Casuariiformes; Dromaiidae. The transcript is spliced from 19 exons.